CCCAGCUUUAGCUUUUCCAGAUACUCUGCAUGUACAGGUUUAUGACACUGGAGAACUUUGAUAGCAUCUUCUACUUUGAACCACUCUCUCUUCCUUCCAAUAUUAACAGAAUCUUCCCAAUCUUCUAAUAUUUCAGUGACUGUUAGAACAUAAACAUAUGUUCUGUGCUUUCGGUCUUGGUUCUGCUCAAAUAUGCCCAGAAGUCUGCCUAGUUUUCCUUUGACUCCAGCCUCCUCAUAAACUUCCCUCACGGCAGCACCGCCAGGUUCCUCCUCGGGUUCCAUUCCUCCUCCUGGGACAAUCCACUGGUCUGGG
Molecule: long non-coding RNA, 315 nt
Filed under: Homo sapiens (human)
Lineage: Eukaryota; Metazoa; Chordata; Mammalia; Primates; Hominidae
Description: LNC_000948
Source: RNAcentral